AUGCACCAAGACGAUCCGAUCCUGCGACAGAUAUCAGCAGUUCAGCGCCUCCGUCGGGUCAACUGCUUGUUUUCCAUUUUUUCCUUUGCAAAAAGUCCACUAUUUUCCUUAUCUGAACAGCACAGCGCGAAGAAUAGAUUACUCGUUAAUGGACUAAAUCGGAUCCACCGCCCACCACCACCGCCACCGCGAGAGGAAGAAGACGGCUUCCUCCCCCAGCCGUCGUGGCGAGCUGGCGCGGUUUGUCUUGAUUGGUGGUUGAUAAACAAGAAGGAAAAUGGAAAAGUAGAAAAUCUACAUGUUUAUACCGUUGAGGUAUGCCUGUGCGGACACCCGGCCGGAAAUCAGCUGCAGAUUCAUUUCCCGGCCGCGGCGCCGGCCGUCGCCAUCGACGCCGCUUCAAAUCCAUGGCUUUUUUUACGCUUUCCUCUCCAGCGGCUCCUGCGUAGUCCUUUGACACGCCCGACGCCGCCCCCCACCCAAACCCCCCUUUAA
Molecule: ribosomal RNA, 495 nt
Filed under: Triticum aestivum (bread wheat)
Lineage: Eukaryota; Viridiplantae; Streptophyta; Magnoliopsida; Poales; Poaceae
Description: partial small subunit ribosomal RNA
Source: RNAcentral